This is a long non-coding RNA of Astatotilapia calliptera (eastern happy), 1742 nucleotides long. The record is from Ensembl. Lineage: Eukaryota; Metazoa; Chordata; Actinopteri; Cichliformes; Cichlidae.
GUUAAGUUCUUUGCAAUAGAGCGAUAAACUGCCACCAGCUUUUGCUUUUCUAAAGGCGCAGCUCCGCUCUCCAAACUUUGACGCGCGUCUUCCGAGAGAGCGGCGCCAAGAUUAGCAACAGUGCUCCUCUCAGUAACAACAAGAACGUCUGUGUGAUCAAACACUCGUGUGUCCGACAAAGAGAAGUCGCUUCGGUGCGUGUCUGACCGCGACGAAGUUCCUCCCGUGUACCUCCUCUCGCCGUGUAUGCGCCCUCGGCUCGGUGCGCUCUCCAAAAGCGUCUUUUCUGGAUAUUUGCUGAUCAAAAAAGCCCUAAGCACCACUUGAUUUCCGAAAAAAUCCAAACCAAAACAAACAAACAAAAAGAAAAAAAACUAAAGCUUUACUCGAUGUCUUUCCUUCGCUCGGCUCUCGGGCUCAUAUCGAAACCAACUUUGAAGUUAUCUUCUGGCAGCCCUCUAGCAGCGUCGGUCGGUCUGUCGCUGUUGGGCAUGGCUCUGUGUGUGGGGGACUGCGCUGUGUGUGAGAGUCAACCCCCAAGCAGGGGUUCAGCCCAUUGCUUUCAGCCACCACUAGGAUGUACCACCACGUUACUGUUCAAUGGAUCGUCCUCAGACUUCUGUGUGAACACCCAGAUUUGACCUCCCAUCAUAUAAUAUCUCACCCGUCACCGCCCGUAUCCGCCAGAAGGCUGGGUCAUCAUAUUAAUGCGGCAGAGUAUUUUUAUUUCGUGACAUCGGCGAUUUUCUGAUUACACGAGCUGGAGCCCCACCGAGGCUAUUACAACGGGGGCCACUCUCUCUAUUCUCCGAGAGAGGAGUGAGAGUGCUGCUGGUGCUGCUGGUGGAAGAGGAGGAGGAGGAGGAGGAGGGGGGCAUGGUGGCGGAGGAGGGUGGGAGAGGAGGGAGAGCAGAAACGUGUAAUCACCCAAACAACCGUUUUUACCCGUUUCACCCCCUCUGGAUCUGUGUCGCAAGUCCGCUGUGAGCCUGUCUGCCUUUCACUGCGGAUAUCGUGGAGGGAGGCCGGAGCGUGAAGAAGACACCAGAGAGUUUCAGAUGAUGUCCAGUACGCCACGGCUGCUCCAGCCAAUAAACAAGGUGACUAACAAUGGAAGAGGGCCAGGAAUGAAGAGAGGGAGACAAGCUAACCACCACACCACACACAGCUAGAAUGCAAGGGCGGAAGAGGACAUUUUAUAGCUAGAAUUUGCCUUUUUUUUCUUUGUUUUUACGGCUAUGUUGAGAGGCUGUUUUUAAAACGUAUCAUUAUGACUAUACUGCAGUAUAGAAAGCUCAUGUCAUGUGUUUUAUUUUUAUUUCAGUCUUUUUAAAAUCAUUUUUUUGGGCAUAAAAUUUUGUCAUCAUAUUAAGCGAAGCUCUGUGAGGCAGGGGCAUGAUUUCUUAGGGAUUUCUUUGCUAGGACUACAGCUGUAAAACAUUCAGCUUAAAUGUAGUUUCUCUAAAUCGUGGUCAUUUAGGAUCUAAAAUAGCAAACCUUUUUUUCCUUGGACAGCAGAGUAUUAUAAUCCUCCCCGACCCCUGAAGACAAGAUACAAUUUAACAUUUUUUAAUAUAUUUGUAUAUAUCUGUAUUCUUGUUACUGUGUUUCUCCCAGAGCCAAAUUAAUUAUCACCUUUGCCCCAAAGAAAAGGCAAUUAAACAGGAGAGCUAAUGGUUUUUCCUCUAAAAAUGAAACGGGACAAAGGUUUUGUUCCCAUUUUAUUUUUUUAAUAACGUGUG